AGAUAGGCGGCGCUCACUUGCCUCCAGAGGAAGCUUGAAGACAGGUGGAGCAGAGGACACUUGGCCGUGGAUUUAGGUUUAUUCAGGAAGAGUUGGAGCAACAAUAUCAUCAACAGUGACGGUGGAAUCUGAAUCUGUGAACCAGAAAUCAACACCGAUCUCUAACAUGGAUGAGCUGCCUGCUAUAUUCAUCUUUCUGUUGCUGCGUGUUGCUGAACUCACUCAGUGCUUUCCAGUCACAGCAAGUCAAGGUGUGAUUUCUCUUGUAUACUCCACUCUCCUGACAAAAAAAGUAUAUCGGAGAUGUUUCAUAGAUCUGCUGUGUCAUGUUACAGGUGGACACCAAUCUGUGCAGGUGUUUUUCUGCAAGAAUCCAGGGUGUGCUGCGAAUGUGACUCACAUAUUUUGCAGCGACAACAGUGUAAACUUCAGUCACACUCACAUCACAGAGUGUUCAGGCCCUCCACCACCCAAUAAUGUCUGCCAGCAUGACGGUCGGGCCUUCGUUGCCAAAGAUACAGCUGGUUCCUGUGACUUUGAAGGUAGCAUGGGUUAUAUUGACACCGAAAAAUGUACAGACCAAAAGAACAUUUGUGCUUUUAUCAGUGCUACCACACCAUCACCAGUCACCACAGAGGGGACGCCAAAGGACCAUGCAAAACCUGGACACAUUGCCGCUGGAGUUGUUGGGCUGAAAUGUUGGUCCUUUAAUUGUGACAAUCAGGUGGUUUACUGCUGCUAAUAGCACUUGCAUGUGUGAUUGCAUGUUGCUGUAUAAGAAGACGAAACAGAGAACAAAAUCAACCGCCAGCAAGGGACCCUGAUGUAAAUUUACCCCUAAGAGAGCAGCAGGACCCUGGAGAAACCAGCGAGGGUGAUACUCAUGGUGGCCCUGGACUGGAUGAUGGCAGCUCUCCUCAGUGUGGAGCUUAAACUCCUGCAGUCUCAUUUCUGUUCUUAUUACCUCCAUCAAGGAGGUUAUAUUUAUUUAAGUUGUUUUUUGUUACGACCCCAAAUUCUGUCACCUGGUACUCCUCCUCAUGCUGUUCAUGUGUUGUAUUGUUUUAUUUGUUUUACUUUAAUAAAUUUCAUUUUAUUGUUGUUAA
Non-coding RNA from Epinephelus lanceolatus (giant grouper), 1106 nucleotides. The record is from RefSeq and is a predicted model, not a curated record. Lineage: Eukaryota; Metazoa; Chordata; Actinopteri; Perciformes; Serranidae.